Molecule: ribosomal RNA, 253 nt
Filed under: uncultured bacterium
Lineage: Bacteria
Description: partial 16S ribosomal RNA
Rfam family: Bacterial small subunit ribosomal RNA
Source: RNAcentral
UACGUAGGGGGCAAGCGUUGUCCGGAUUUAUUGGGCGUAAAGAGCGUGUAGGCGGCCAGACAGGUCUGCUGUGAAAACUCGAGGCUCAACCUCGAGAUGUCGGCGGAAACCUUCUGGCUAGAGUCCGGAAGAGGAGAGUGGAAUUCCUGGUGUAGCGGUGAAAUGCGCAGAUAUCAGGAAGAACACCUAUGGCGAAGGCGGCGACCUGGGUCGACACUGACGCUGAGGCGCGAAAGCGUGGGGAGCAAACAGG